RNAcentral lists this ribosomal RNA (173 nucleotides) under uncultured Chloroflexota bacterium. RNAcentral's name for it is "uncultured Chloroflexi bacterium partial 16S ribosomal RNA". It matches the Rfam family "Bacterial small subunit ribosomal RNA", at positions 335 to 524 of the family's 1533-position model. Lineage: Bacteria; Bacillati; Chloroflexota. The record is from RNAcentral.
ACUCCUACGGGAGGCAGCAGCAGCGAAUCUUGCGCAAUGGGCGAAAGCCUGACGCAGCGACACCGCGUGGAGGAAGAAGGCUUUAGGGUUGUAAACUCCUUUUCUCGGGGAAGAGAACGGACGGUACCCGAGGAAUAAGGUUCGGCUAACUACGUGCCAGCAGCCGCGGUAAU